CCUACGGGUGGCAGCAGUGAGGAAUAUUGGUCAAUGGACGAGAGUCUGAACCAGCCAAGCAGCGUGAAGGAUGACUGCCCUAUGGGUUGUAAACUUCUUUUAUACGGGAAUAAAGUGAGGCACGUGUGCCUUUCUGUAUGUACUUUAUGAAUAAGGAUCGGCUAACUCCGUGCCAGCAGCCGCGGUAAUACGGAGGAUCCGAGCGUUAUCCGGAUUUAUUGGGUUUAAAGGGAGCGUAGAUGGGUUGUUAAGUUAGUUGUGAAAGUUUGCGGCUCAACCGUAAAAUUGCAAUUGAUACUGGUAGCCUUGAGAGCAGUUGCGGUAGGCGGAAUGCGUGGUGUAGCGGUGAAAUGCUUAGAGAUCACGAAGAACUCCGAUUGCGAAGGCAGCUUACUAAGCUGCCACUGACAUUGAUGCUCGAAAGUGUGGGUAGCAAACAGGAUUAGAUACCCUGGUAGUC
This 460-nucleotide ribosomal RNA is filed under the name uncultured bacterium. RNAcentral describes it as "partial 16S ribosomal RNA". It matches the Rfam family "Bacterial small subunit ribosomal RNA", at positions 338 to 795 of the family's 1533-position model. The record is from RNAcentral.